UUGAGCGCAUCCUGAGUGUUCUGGUACCCAAGGCAUAUGGUGCAUAUUUAUAGGGCUCCAUCUGAGGGCUUCCAUAAAUUAAGCCGACACAGUUAUCCGUAAGAAAGUAAAAUAAGCACUUUGCUCUAAAAACCAAAAGAAGUUUUCCAAACCCUACCUCUGUGCAUCUAGCUAGCUACCACAAACACAGAAUCCUGAAAGAGAAAUUCUAGAAACAGCAAAAGUGCUAACCACUCAUCUUUAGCAAGCUGGCUUUUUUCAGAACGUAUACGAAGCACAUAGAGUGCACAGUUUAGAACCAGCAAUCUUCAUUCUCGCAGAUUCAUUUCACUGUGUCCACGGAAAUUUCUGGAUGUUCCCUUUGGACCAGUUUGAGAGACGAGGUAAUCCUCUUUUGUGAAACUUGCUAUCUAAAUUGUGGGCAAUUUCCUUAACCUCAUAGGUAACACGAGGAUUAUAGUAUGAUCUCCCCCACAGAGUUGUUUUACAAAUUAGAGCCUAUUGACUGUAGAGUGGUUUCCACAAUGACCGCAUAUACUAGACACCAACUGAAAGCAGCAUUUGUUCUUCCUGUUGUUGUUAUUUUUCUUUUUCAAACUGGGUUAAAUGAAUUUGAGAGAACAAGGAUCACUUCCACUGCCUACGAAAGUGAUUGCCAUUGAAUCAGGCUUGCGUGGGCCCCUGGGGAGCGGCAAGGUCAUGGGUGAGAUCACGCUCCCCCUGCCUCUCCUGCACCUAACCUCUACUGACCCCUCCACCGCUCAUGGUUGCUCUCCUUCUGGUCUUGGCAGGUAUUUUGUCACGCUGAUCUUAAUCAGAUCACUGUGUAAUUACAGAGGGACUGUCAGGAUAUUUUUGGUUGUCAUCUCCUAACAAAAUGCAGAUUGCGUGGCAUGUAUACAUAGAAUUACUCUGUAAUUCAAAGUAAAUUGACAUUUAAUUUCAAUUUAAUUACACAGAAAUUACAGACAUGACAGAUACAGUCUAAUUAGGAAGCAAAGUAUACGACUCUGUUUAUGGAAUGAAAAUCCAUAUCAUGUCACACUUUUCACAGAAUCAAAAUAAUUUCUGCAUUUUGCUAGAGGAUACGUACUGACAACAACAGUAACAAUUGAAGUUGCACUGCUGCCUCAUCUACCAUGUGCACAUAUUUUAUCUCAUUUAAUACUAGAGAUAACCGUGAGGUUGGUGUGUGGUCCUUCCUGCGGUGCCCAUGAAACCGAUGGUUGGAGAAGUUAGUGUUCAUAAGUGGUCAAAGUGAAAUGGUCAUUUCUCAUGGACUUGAAGGCCUGAGCUUGGCAACACUGUGCUGCCUCCUCCCUGUCACUUCUGGGCAGAGG
This 1340-nucleotide long non-coding RNA is filed under the name Sus scrofa (pig). RNAcentral's name for it is "lncRNA (ENSSSCG00070014907.1)". Lineage: Eukaryota; Metazoa; Chordata; Mammalia; Artiodactyla; Suidae. The record is from RNAcentral.